RNAcentral lists this transfer RNA (68 nucleotides) under Lepilemur hubbardi (Hubbard's sportive lemur). Its description in RNAcentral is "Lepilemur hubbardorum (Hubbard's sportive lemur) tRNA-Trp". The record is from RNAcentral. Lineage: Eukaryota; Metazoa; Chordata; Mammalia; Primates; Lepilemuridae.
AGAAAUUUAGGUUAUAUAGACCAAGAGCCUUCAAAGCCCUAAGAAAGCAGACACAUGCUUAAUUUCUG